GACGAACGCUGGCGGCGUGCUUAACACAUGCAAGUCGAACGGGAUCCCAAGGCUUUUUGUUUUUGGUGAGAGUGGCGAACGGGUGAGUAACACGUGAGUAACCUGCCUCCUUUUUUUGGAUAACCGCAUGAAAGUGUGGCUAAUACAGGAUAUUCCAGGUUGGUCGUAUGAUUGGUUUGGGAAAUGGUUUGGUCUGGUGGGGGAUGGGCUCGCGGCCUCUCAGCUUGUUGGUGGGGUGAUGGCCUACCAUGGCGGUGACGGGUAGCCGGCGUGGGAGGGUGGGCGGGCGCGCUGGGACUGAGACACGGCGCAGACGCCUACGCGAGGCAGCAGUGGGGGAGUAUGCGCAGGGAGCGCAAGCCUGAGGCAGCGACGCCGCGUGAGGGAUGAAGGCCUUCGGAUUGUAGACCUCUGUCGCGGAAUUGAAAGGCCAUGCUUUGGAUGUGGUUGAAUGGAACUGGUAAAGAAGUACCGGCUAACUACGUG
Molecule: ribosomal RNA, 486 nt
Filed under: uncultured bacterium
Lineage: Bacteria
Description: partial 16S ribosomal RNA
Rfam family: Bacterial small subunit ribosomal RNA
Source: RNAcentral